Molecule: ribosomal RNA, 1336 nt
Filed under: Bacillus sp. (in: firmicutes)
Lineage: Bacteria; Bacillati; Bacillota; Bacilli; Caryophanales; Bacillaceae
Description: bacterial SSU rRNA
Rfam family: Bacterial small subunit ribosomal RNA
Source: RNAcentral
AAAGGGCGGCGUGCCUAUACAUGCAAGUCGAGCGGACCGACGGGAGCUUGCUCCCUUAGGUCAGCGGCGGACGGGUGAGUAACACGUGGGUAACCUGCCUGUAAGACUGGGAUAACUCCGGGAAACCGGGGCUAAUACCGGAUGCUUGAUUGAACCGCAUGGUUCAAUCAUAAAAGGCGGCUUCGGCUGCCGUUUACAGAUGGACCCGCGGCGCAUUAGCUAGUUGGUGAGGUAACGGCUCACCAAGGCGACGAUGCGUAGCCGACCUGAGAGGGUGAUCGGCCACACUGGGACUGAGACACGGCCCAGACUCCUACGGGAGGCAGCAGUAGGGAAUCUUCCGCAAUGGACGAAAGUCUGACGGAGCAACGCCGCGUGAGUGAUGAAGGUUUUCGGAUCGUAAAGCUCUGUUGUUAGGGAAGAACAAGUACCGUUCGAAUAGGGCGGUACCUUGACGGUACCUAACCAGAAAGCCACGGCUAACUACGUGCCAGCAGCCGCGGUAAUACGUAGGUGGCAAGCGUUGUCCGGAAUUAUUGGGCGUAAAGCGCGCGCAGGCGGUUUCUUAAGUCUGAUGUGAAAGCCCCCGGCUCAACCGGGGAGGGUCAUUGGAAACUGGGGAACUUGAGUGCAGAAGAGGAGAGUGGAAUUCCACGUGUAGCGGUGAAAUGCGUAGAGAUGUGGAGGAACACCAGUGGCGAAGGCGACUCUCUGGUCUGUAACUGACGCUGAGGCGCGAAAGCGUGAGGAGCGAACAGGAUUAGAUACCCUGGUAGUCCACGCCGUAAACGAUGAGUGCUAAGUGUUAGAGGGUUUCCGCCCUUUAGUGCUGCAGCAAACGCAUUAAGCACUCCGCCUGGGGAGUACGGUCGCAAGACUGAAACUCAAGGAAAUGACGGGGGCCGCACAAGCGGUGGAGCAUGUGGUUUAAUUCAAACAACGCGACAACCCUACAAGGUCUGACAUCCUCUAAAUCCCUAAAGAUAAGGUUCCCCCUCGGGGGCAAGUGACAGGUGGUGCAUGGGUGGCGUCCGCUCCGGUCUGAGAAGUUGGGUAAAUCCCCGACAAGCGCACCCCUGAUCUAAUUUGCCCCCUUUCGUUGGGCCUUCAAGGGGACUGCCGGGAAAAACCGGAAAAAAGGGGGAAAGAACGUAAACUUUCUGCCCCUUAUGACCGGGGCUACACCCCGUGCUCAAGUGGGAAAAAAAAAGGGGAGAGAAAAACCCCGAGGGCUCACCACCCCUCCCCCAAACCUUGUCUUCUCCCUUCUCGCCAAACACCACCCCCCUCCCACACACCCUCCCGCCCGGGGGGGAGAAAAGGGGAAAAAAGCACC